Molecule: microRNA, 22 nt
Filed under: Mus musculus (house mouse)
Lineage: Eukaryota; Metazoa; Chordata; Mammalia; Rodentia; Muridae
Description: mmu-miR-126b-5p
Gene: mmu-miR-126b-5p
Source: miRBase by way of RNAcentral
AUUAUUACUCACGGUACGAGUU